RNAcentral lists this unclassified non-coding RNA (25 nucleotides) under Mus musculus (house mouse). RNAcentral describes it as "piRNA piR-mmu-68369865". Lineage: Eukaryota; Metazoa; Chordata; Mammalia; Rodentia; Muridae. The record is from RNAcentral.
UGUGUUCUUGGAUUCGGUUAGCAAU